GAGCGGGUUGGUGUAAUUGGUAACAUAAUUGGCUCAUGACCAGUAGUUAAACGUUCAAGUCGUUUGCCCGCACA
This 74-nucleotide transfer RNA is filed under the name Streptomyces albospinus. Its description in RNAcentral is "tRNA-Met". It matches the Rfam family "tRNA". From Rfam's summary of the family: Transfer RNA (tRNA) molecules are approximately 80 nucleotides in length. Lineage: Bacteria; Bacillati; Actinomycetota; Actinomycetes; Kitasatosporales; Streptomycetaceae. The record is from RNAcentral.